RNAcentral lists this ribosomal RNA (441 nucleotides) under uncultured bacterium. RNAcentral's name for it is "partial 16S ribosomal RNA". It matches the Rfam family "Bacterial small subunit ribosomal RNA", at positions 338 to 795 of the family's 1533-position model. The record is from RNAcentral.
CCUACGGGAGGCAGCAGUGGGGAAUAUUGCACAAUGGGCGAAACCCUGACGCAGCAACGCCGCGUGAGUGAGGAAGUAUUUCGGUUUGUAAAGUUCUAUCAGCAGGGCAUAGAAUAGCAGGAACCAGAAAAAGAAGCCCCGGCUAACUACGUGCCAGCAGCGGCGGUAUUACGGAGGGGGCAAGCGUUAUCCGGAUUUACUGGGUGUAAAGGGUGCGUAGGCGGAAUGGCAAGUCAGGAGUGAAAACCCAAGGCUCAACCAUGGGACUGCUUUUGAAACUGGCAAACUGGAGUGCGGGAGAGGUAAGGGGAAUUCCUGGUGUAGCGGUGAAAUGCGUAGAUAUUAGGAGGAACACCAGUGGCGAAGGCGUCUUACUGGGCCGUAACUGAUGUUGAGGAUCGAAAGCGUGGGUAGCAAACAGGAUUAGAUACCCCAGUAGUC